UUCUAGCUUUUCUUUGCCCAACCAUGUGUGUUAAGAGAUUACUUAUAAGUGUUGAUGAAGGCUAUACUCUUUACAGAGGGAGCCAUCUGUAAAAACUGCAUUUAACUUAGUUGCAAAAACAAGAGAUUACAACUUUUGUACAGGGAAGCUGGGGAAAGCCCUUUUUUAAUGGGAAUUGAAAGAAUCAUGGAGGGGAGAGAGGAGAAAACCAAAACUGAUAGAGAGUGGGAAAGAAGAAGAGGCAAGGCAAAAGAAGGCAUCAAAGAGGCUGGAAAUGAAAGUAGAACACUUCCAACUUUGUCCAACAGUGUGUAAAUUGCAGCCCAAAGUAACUUUCUCAUACAUGAAAGCACAAACAUUUAAAAUAGGCUGUUCUUUGAUAAAAUACCUAUAUGGAAGUGACAGUUUGAUAAUGAACCAAUAUAUGAAAAUCAAGGUGGCUGAUUUCCUUGAAUUAUUUUUCAUGGUGGAGAGCAUAUCAUCCCUGGAUGGGUUGCAGAAUGAAAAUGUUGGAGAGAAAGGAAUCAACUGUAAUUUGCCUGCAGGUUGUGGUCGUGGUAUCUGUGAAGCAGCAGGGAACUGUGCCAGAAGAUGGCAUUGCUGUUCGCAGAGCACUCAUCUCCAUUGCAACAAGUCAUUAGAGGAGUGGAAAAAUUUCAGCUUCAAAGUCCUUUAGACUGAGUCAGGCUGAGAGGAAACGAGUUUGCCUUCAUAUCACUCAUCAAGGACGGUUCCAUUAAAAUAUAUAAUGUGCUGAG
Molecule: long non-coding RNA, 758 nt
Organism: Pezoporus occidentalis (night parrot)
Lineage: Eukaryota; Metazoa; Chordata; Aves; Psittaciformes; Psittacidae
Exons: 2
Source: RefSeq, a predicted model, not a curated record